AGGCAAUGUCCGUUUGAACCGGGGCUGGCGUUUUACUCCAGGCCCAGGCUCGGCGCGGGCCCGGGGCCGGGCCUGAAGACUACCCCCAAAAAAGAUCGGGGAAAAGAGCCAGUACUUUUCAAAUCAAAGAGAGCGGGAGCGCGGUAACAGACCUGCUGGUGGAAGCGGCUGAGCGCGUUGAGCAGGGUGUGCAGGCUCUGGGCCAUCUCCUUGUCGGCAGCCCCUGGUUCUACCUCCGCCGCCAUGACCAAAGCGAAAGGCGAGCAGGAGCAGCUAACAGAAAGCGCUGGAGCUGAGUGUUUUCGGCGAUUCUUGUUUCUAUUGCAGCAAUUUCUAUACUUGCAUCUCCUCCGCCAGUAACUUGGUUCUAAGUCAGCGUUUAACCAGUAAAUGUUCCAUUCACCGAAGUGUUAUCGCACGCAAUUUUAAAAUCAGCCAGAUGCUGCCAGACCUACCGAGAUUCUACGGCAAUUUCUAUUUUUGUUUCAACUUUGUUUGACUGCUACCAUAUGACAGUGGUGCAGAGAAAUGUAAUAACCUGCCUGAUGCAAUCCAAGAGAUUGAUCACAUACUGCAAGGAUUGUAUUGGAACCUGGCCAUUGUUAUGAAGAUGAGUUCCCAUUCAGGAGGGAAAUCAAUAAUUUGAACAGUUGUCCAUCUGGAUUUAGGCACAUAAUUGGGGUGGAGUGGCAGAAUAUAAGGGCAAUAAAGUUACCUUCAGACCAAUGUUAUCCAUUUGUGCUAGCUACAGAAGGGAUUACCAUUCAUGAGACUGCCCCAAAAUACACAACAUAUGAUGUUCAUUCGAGAAGUGAAAUACGCUCCAGACACAGUUGACAUCCUGAGAGGGAGGAAUGCCUAUGAGGAGUACUUACUUCUGGCAUUGGGGGCUGAAUUUUCAUAGUGCAGCCAAGGCAGGAUAAAAGAAAGA
Long non-coding RNA from Rhincodon typus (whale shark), 931 nucleotides. RefSeq lists it as uncharacterized. NCBI's taxonomy places the organism in Eukaryota, Metazoa, Chordata, Chondrichthyes, Orectolobiformes, Rhincodontidae. The transcript is spliced from 3 exons. The record is from RefSeq and is a predicted model, not a curated record.